CAGCCGCCGCGGUAACACCAGCCCCUCGAGUGGUGGGGAUGAUUAUUUGGCCUAAAGCGUCCGUAGCCGGCCGAGCAAGUCUUCCGUUAAAUCCAGCGUCUCAAGCGUUGGACCGCGGGAGAUACUACACGGCUAGAGAGUGGGAGAGGUCAGCGGUAUUCUGGGGGUAGGGGCGAAAUCCUUUGAUCCCCGGAGGACCACCAGUGGCGAAGGCUGCUGACUAGAACACGUCUGACGGUCAGGGACGAAAGCUGGGGUAGCGAACCGGAUUAGAUACCCGGGUAGUCCCAGCCGUAAACGAUGCAUGCUAGGUGUUGGGCUGGCCACGAGCCACCCCAGUGCCGCAGGGAAGCCGUUAAGCAUGCCGCCUGGGAAGUACGAUCGCAAGAUUGAAACUUAAAGGAAUUGGCGGGGGAGCAC
Molecule: ribosomal RNA, 420 nt
Filed under: uncultured Nitrososphaerota archaeon
Lineage: Archaea; Thermoproteati; Nitrososphaerota
Description: bacterial SSU rRNA
Rfam family: Archaeal small subunit ribosomal RNA
Source: RNAcentral